This 555-nucleotide ribosomal RNA is filed under the name Corynebacterium massiliense. RNAcentral's name for it is "bacterial SSU rRNA". It matches the Rfam family "Bacterial small subunit ribosomal RNA", at positions 34 to 600 of the family's 1533-position model. Lineage: Bacteria; Bacillati; Actinomycetota; Actinomycetes; Mycobacteriales; Corynebacteriaceae. The record is from RNAcentral.
CGCUGGCGGCGUGCUUAACACAUGCAAGUCGAACGGAAAGGCUCCAGCUUGCUGGAGUACUCGAGUGGCGAACGGGUGAGUAACACGUGGGUGAUCUGCCCUGCACUUCGGGAUAAGCCUGGGAAACUGGGUCUAAUACCGGAUAGGACCGCACUUUGGUGUGUGUGGUGGAAAGGUUUUUCUGGUGUGGGAUGAGCUCGCGGCCUAUCAGUUUGUUGGUGGGGUAAUGGCCUACCAAGACGGCGACGGGUAGCCGGCCUGAGAGGGUGGACGGUCACAUUGGGACUGAGAUACGGCCCAGACUCCUACGGGAGGCAGCAGUGGGGAAUAUUGCACAAUGGGGGAAACCCUGAUGCAGCGACGCCGCGUGGGGGAUGAAGGCCUUCGGGUUGUAAACUCCUUUCGCUAGGGACGAAGCUUUUUGUGACGGUACCUGGAGAAGAAGCACCGGCUAACUACGUGCCAGCAGCCGCGGUAAUACGUAGGGUGCGAGCGUUGUCCGGAAUUACUGGGCGUAAAGGGCUCGUAGGUGGUGUGUCGCGUCGUCUGUGAAAU